Molecule: ribosomal RNA, 519 nt
Filed under: uncultured archaeon
Lineage: Archaea
Description: bacterial SSU rRNA
Rfam family: Archaeal small subunit ribosomal RNA
Source: RNAcentral
CGCGAAAACUUCACAAUGGGGGCAACCCCGAUGAGGGAAUUCCAAGUGCUAGCACUUUUUGUGUUAGCUGUUCUUUUGUCUAAAAAACAAGAGAAGUAAGGGCCGGGUAAGACGGGUGCCAGCCGCCGCGGUAAUACCCGCGGCCCGAGUGGUGGUCGAUAUUAUUGAGCCUAAAACGUUCGUAGCCGGUCUUGUAAAUCCUUGGGUAAAUCGGCCAGCUUAACUGUCCGAAGUCCGGGGAGACUGCAAGACUUGGGAUCGGGAGAGGUCAGAGGUACUUCUGGGGUAGGGGUAAAAUCCUGUAAUCCUAGAAGGACCACCGGUGGCGAAGGCGUCUGACUAGAACGAAUUCGACGGUGAGGAACGAAGCCCUGGGGCGCAAACGGGAUUAGAUACCCCGGUAGUCCAGGGUGUAAACGCUGCGGGCUUGGUGUUGGGGGUCCUUAGUGGGCGCCCAGUGCCGGAGAGAAGUUGUUAAGCCUGCUGCUUGGGGAGUACGUCCGCAAGGAUGAAACUUAA